UACAGAGGUCUCAAGCGUUGUUCGGAUUCAUUGGGCGUAAAGGGUGCGUAGGUGGCGGGGUAAGUCAGGUGUGAAAUCUCGGGGCUCAACCCCGAAACUGCACUUGAUACUGCCUUGCUCGAGUACUGGAGAGGAGAUUGGAAUUUACGGUGUAGCAGUGAAAUGCGUAGAUAUCGAGAGGAACACCUGCGGCGAAGGCGGGUUGCUGGGCUGACACUGACGCUGAUGCGCGAAAGCCAGGGGAGCGAACGGG
RNAcentral lists this ribosomal RNA (253 nucleotides) under uncultured bacterium. Its description in RNAcentral is "partial 16S ribosomal RNA". It matches the Rfam family "Bacterial small subunit ribosomal RNA", at positions 524 to 776 of the family's 1533-position model. The record is from RNAcentral.